RNAcentral lists this long non-coding RNA (1122 nucleotides) under Homo sapiens (human). Its description in RNAcentral is "HSALNT0101916". The record is from RNAcentral. Lineage: Eukaryota; Metazoa; Chordata; Mammalia; Primates; Hominidae.
AUGGCUCCCCAGAGGAAAGGGCCAGAAGGUUUUCACCAGCGCGGUGAGUGGCGAGGAUUUCAGGAAGAUUGGAAUUGAGGAGGAAGCCAUUUGCCUGCCUACAACCUCCUGUAUCCCCUUGUUGGUGACAGAACAAAAGAUAAAGCAGUCAGCAUUACCUGAAGUGACUUGGAGGUGAUUAAUACUCAGAGCUCCUGGAGCAGAAAGGUGGGCAUGCAAGUUGCAAUUAAGAUGAUAAAGAACGCAGCUUAGCAGCAAGCUGGGGUGCGAGGCUGGUGAGGAGGAGAGCUACUGCCUGUCUCUUGCUCUGCAGAGACUGCUUCUGAGAUACACGCACGGGGUUUAUGAUGCUGCCAGGCUCAUCAGGAGAGAGAAGAAAGGUACCUUCCAUUAGAGCUACCUGCCAAAUUUUGGAUGGCAGCACCCCAAGAUGAAAGGAGCUUGGAUCCCCAAGUCAUUAUUUGGAGGAGAGCCUCUGCAAAGAACUGCCUGCUGUGCACUGGACUGUGAGGCUCUGAGCCUCCUUGACGGGAAAGAUUUUCCUUCUGGACCUCCAUCUCCCUGGUGAAAGAAAGGUGGCACAUGGCAAAUCUUCAACAAACGUUGGCUGUUUGAAUGGAUUGGUGAAGGAUGAAUGGAUAAAUGAAGUGCAGAUCCCUUGCAAUUGGAGUCUGUGUUAGGGUCUGUGUUAUACCUCCUGUAUCCUUGGUACCUGGCACUGUUCCUUGAACAGAGUUUUUAAACCCGUGGAUGCUCUUUCAGCAUGGAAGUCACUGGAAUCAGUAUUUAGGGGAAGAGUUAUGAGUUGUUCUUUAUUUCUCUAUUAGUUAUAACCAGCUUACUUCCACAAAGAGCUUAAAGAAAAAGAACAUUAAGACUAGGACUUUUUCUCAAACAUCUUACAGAUUACAGGAUUGUUCUUUUGAACUCUGAAAAAUAAGCUGGUUUUGCUGUCAACUUUAUGAUUGGGUCAGAAGUCAUCAGUGCUUUAACAACAGAAUCUUGGGUGUGGUGUUUCCAUGAUUUCACCCAGGCAUGUUCCCAGCAUGAACAUAAGGGAGGGAACACAUGAUUAAAUAACGGUUUUUAACAUCUUGUCACAACUACAUGUUUAGCCGGACU